UCAGCAAUGGUGUCAGGAGGAGCCCUUCUUCCCAUAGAUGGGGCCUGGAUUCCAGCAAUGAACACCUGAACAAACUGAAAUUCUGGAAGCAAGUAAACCCGGACAGUACUGCCAUCUCGAACCUGCUCAACAAUUCCCUCCAUUGGCUUUCCUUUGUUAGCAGCUAACAAACCCAUGGCAUCCAAGUUGUUGGGAUCACCAAUGGCUGAUGGUGGUAAAUUUCUAAUCGAUGCCUCAGUAGCACCAGGAACCUUGCUCCAACGGCCGAGACCUUGUUGCUUUGCUUGGUCUUCGAGGCGUAGUAGUUCCGCAAGGUAAGGACUCACUUCACCCUUCUGCUGACCUUGCUCCCUUACCUUUGCCCAGCCUUCAGAAACAACAAGUGCUGCAAUAUUCUUGUCACCAAGAA
RNAcentral lists this unclassified non-coding RNA (409 nucleotides) under Hevea brasiliensis (rubber tree). The record is from RNAcentral. Lineage: Eukaryota; Viridiplantae; Streptophyta; Magnoliopsida; Malpighiales; Euphorbiaceae.